CAGCUCUCCCCGCAGCCUGUUUAGAACACCUCCCCUUUUACCAUCACUGAGGACAAAGGGUGAGGAGCUGGGGUAUGAUCACCAACAUAUGGUCUGCAAAGUCAGAUACUGCCUUUCCCGUAAGGCAAGGGGAGGGCCCCAGAGAGCCUGGGGAGAGAGUGGAGAAGCUCUGAGCAGAGAGACAAGCAACCUUCUCUCAGUCCCCAACCAAAGAUGAAGCUACUCCCUUUCAGUCAGCACCGAGAGGAAAAGUCAGAGCCUCUGCCCUGGGCCAGAGCACUGGCACCUCCACAGUCCAGCUUGGGGAGAGAGGUCCAGGAUGCAGGUCCUUCCCAAGGCGGGAGACACCUGACAGAAGGAACAGAAUAAAGGAAGAUAGAAGAACCGGCUCAGCCAAAAGGUUCUGAAAGAGUGUCAGCUACGGGCCAGAUCUAUCCAGCUCACAAGAUGCAGGCCAAACCUUCUGUCUCAGGACGACAACUGAGACUCCUUUAACCUCUGCCUCUUAGGAAACACAGACACAGCAACGGCAUCAAUCCCUGGGAUCGGACAGGCCCCUAUCCAGAAUUCGGCCCAUCAAUCGGUGAGUCCACCACUAACCCAUGUCAUUGUAAGCCACCCCUCUCGCAACCAGCAUUACUUUCAAGGCCAAAAAAUA
This is a long non-coding RNA of Zalophus californianus (California sea lion), 658 nucleotides long. RefSeq lists it as uncharacterized. The record is from RefSeq and is a predicted model, not a curated record. The transcript is spliced from 4 exons. Lineage: Eukaryota; Metazoa; Chordata; Mammalia; Carnivora; Otariidae.